RNAcentral lists this long non-coding RNA (1319 nucleotides) under Homo sapiens (human). RNAcentral's name for it is "HSALNT0293394". The record is from RNAcentral. Lineage: Eukaryota; Metazoa; Chordata; Mammalia; Primates; Hominidae.
AAACAAGAAAACAGUGAGUCUAACCUAGUCAUUCUAGAAUUGGGAGGUAAUAGAAAAGAGAGAAAUGGGAAAGUUGCUCAAAUGCAAGUCCAGUGAAUCAGAGAGAAAAGGCUCAAAGCAGCAGAACAAAGCUUCAAUAAAGAGAUAUUGUGACUUGGAGAGAUGGCCUUUUGUCCUUUGUUCUAUUACCAGUCAGAGGAUGGGGAGCACACCCGAGCCUGAGACAACAGCUCUGCUAAGUGCCCUUGAGAGGGCACGGUGGGGUCAGCACCAAAGUCAGACCACUAAAGAGAAAAAGAGAGAAAGACAGGAUUGCAGAGGAGAAAUGAGAAUGGCAGAAAAAAUAAUUUUUUAAGCCAAAAGGAAUCAGAGAAGAGCAGAAGUGCCUCUAGGAUAAAGCGUAGCAGGCAGUUAGGGAAAAAGGGCUGUUAACUACCUUGAAGCUCUGACUACAUUAGAAAGCCUCGCAAGACAGUCGUUGCUUGCACGGGCAGGUAGAGAACUUUUCCUGUCCAUUGUUCUUCUGAAUUAUAAAUCACUGACCUCUUUAUGAUUUCUAAAGGGAAAAUGACUUCAAGCUUCUUAGAGUUCCCCUAAGGCAUUCUCUAUAUUCAAUAUAAUAUGGGAAGCCCUGGGUUUGUCUUUGUAUGUUUCAUCUGCAGUGACCUGAAAUCUUCAUAACCCUCUUCCUUUCUCCACUUAUCAACUAAGGGGUGGUUGGCAAUAAGGAUGGGUGGGAGAGAAAAAAAAACAGAAUUUGAGGAGGAGAGCAUUUAAACCAUCAGACUGUGUGUUCUGUGACAUCAAAGACUGGCAACAUUCUAAAGGAAAAGCAGCUGUGAAGUCAUAAUUAUGUUCACUUCCCACUGGCAACUGGCAAGCCCUUUAUUUUUGUGCAUUCGGAACUCACCAAGAAUAAAUAAAGUCCAUUCCCUCCUUGAGGGGCUAUUCUGCCAUUCCAUCUAGGAUUUAAAAGUUUGCCAAUUCCUAAAACAUCUAUUGUUAUCAAUAGUCUUGUGUCUUUCACAAAGCGGACUUUACAAAAUAAGGAUAGGCGGAGUGACCCAGCAAUCAUAUGGACACCAUCCAUUCCAGUGACACUCAAACUUCAGCGUGCAUCAGAAUCCCUGCAAGGCUUGCUAAGACACAGACUGCUGCGCCUACCUCAGAGUUCCUGAUUCAUCAAGCUUGAAAUUUCUUCAUUUCAGUAAUUGGCACAUCUUUGAAGCAGCUGUCCAGUGGUUCUUGGAGCCUCACUGCUAAACCGUCAGUAAGAAUCCUUCCUGAGCUCUUAGGAUCAAGAUGAUCCUCAGGAUGCG